This 288-nucleotide ribosomal RNA is filed under the name Triticum aestivum (bread wheat). RNAcentral describes it as "partial small subunit ribosomal RNA". The record is from RNAcentral. Lineage: Eukaryota; Viridiplantae; Streptophyta; Magnoliopsida; Poales; Poaceae.
AUGACUAAUGUUGAGGUGGAGCUUGACUGUCAAGUGCUCAUCAAUGCACUGCGAAGCAAUAUUGCUGAUCUAGCUCCGGAGGGAAUCUUGUUUCAGGAAAUACGUACAUUUGCCUGGCUGAAUUUCAAUAGUGUUUCUUUCUCUUUUGCCCCGAGGGCAUGUAAUAAUCUUGCGCAUGCUUUAGCUGUGUUUGGUGCUAGUCGCCAAGUAGUUCAGGAGCUUUGGUCUGAGGACCUUCCAAAUGAUGUAAACGUCCAGUUGGCCAGCAUUUUAGCUGGACCAGUGUGA